Molecule: long non-coding RNA, 494 nt
Organism: Oncorhynchus tshawytscha (Chinook salmon)
Lineage: Eukaryota; Metazoa; Chordata; Actinopteri; Salmoniformes; Salmonidae
Source: Ensembl
GUGGUGUGGUGUGGUGUAGUGUGGUGUAGUGUGGUGUGGUGUGGUGUGAUGUGGUGUGGUGUGGUGUAGUGUGGUGUGGUGUGGUGUAGUGUGGUGUGGUGUAGUGUGGUGUGGUGUGGUGUAGUGUGGUGUAGUGUAGUGUGGUGUGGUGUAGUGGGGUGUGGUGUGGUGUAGUGUGGUGUGGUGUGGUGUGGUGUAGUGGGGUGUGGUGUGGUGUGGUGUAGUGGGGUUUGGUGUAGUGUAGUGUGGUGUGGUGUGGUGUGGUGUAGUGGGGUGUAGUGUAGUGUGGUGUGGUGUGGUGUAGUGGGGUGUGGUGUAGUGUAGUGUGGUGUAGUGUGGUGUAGUGUGGUGUGGUGUAGUGGGGUGUGGUGUGGUGUAGUGUGGUGUGGUGUGGUGUGGUGUAGUGGGGUGUAGUGUAGUGUAGUGUAGUGUGGUGUGGUGUGGUGUAGUGUGGUGUAGUGUGGUGUAGUGCAGUGUGGUGUAGUGUGGUGUAG